Molecule: transfer RNA, 64 nt
Filed under: Cavia porcellus (domestic guinea pig)
Lineage: Eukaryota; Metazoa; Chordata; Mammalia; Rodentia; Caviidae
Rfam family: tRNA
About the family: Transfer RNA (tRNA) molecules are approximately 80 nucleotides in length. Their secondary structure includes four short double-helical elements and three loops (D, anti-codon, and T loops).
Source: Rfam by way of RNAcentral
GGGGAUUUAGCUCAGCGGCAUAAGCGCCUGUCUUGCAAGCAGGCGGUUGUGAGUUCAAUCCCUG